UUGGGGUUAUCCCAUAACCCUAUAGGGUUUGAUCAAAUCAAACUCAUAAUGAGUCAAAUUAAAUCUAAUCAAAUUAAACUUAAUACAAGCCCUAUUGCUUAAUUAAAUUGAACCAAUUAGCAAUCUUAUUGCUAAUUAAUCCUCCUAUAACUUACUAAUUCUUUAGUAAGUUACAUAAUGCAAUAUUUAUAUUAGAUCAAUUAUCAAUCAAAUUGAUAAUCAAAUCCUAUUACGAUUCAUAAUCAUAAUUUAACCAUCUAAUCAGUCAAAAAUCUCUUUUGUGUGUGUCUCUAUAGGUUUUAUUCUGUCUGCUAGUGAGAUAUAUUGU
This 328-nucleotide long non-coding RNA is filed under the name Elaeis guineensis (African oil palm). Its description in RNAcentral is "long non-coding RNA (EGUI_LNC062542)". Lineage: Eukaryota; Viridiplantae; Streptophyta; Magnoliopsida; Arecales; Arecaceae. The record is from RNAcentral.